This 627-nucleotide long non-coding RNA is filed under the name Daucus carota (carrot). RNAcentral describes it as "long non-coding RNA (DCAR_LNC006132)". Lineage: Eukaryota; Viridiplantae; Streptophyta; Magnoliopsida; Apiales; Apiaceae. The record is from RNAcentral.
CCCCCCCUUCUACAAUCAUAUCUGGACCUAACAUUCUCGAAAAUGGGCUUUCCUGUUUAUAAGGCGAGAUUUACACGAUCAUCUGCCGAGUUGAUAUUUGGUCAUAACAUAUACUAUGAAAGCACUCGGUGAAGGUUGAUUUAAGUUGAUAUUUACACCCAACUCUACAUCAUCUCGAUGCAAGAUUUCUUCACCGAGAAGAUCUACCAAAACUGUAGCAACAUAAAUCAGAGGCUUCAAAAUUUUUUAAGAAAAAAAAUCAAACACCAAAGAAUAUAUGAUAAGAUGUAUUACCUGCAGGCUUCAAAAUUUUUUAAGAAAAAAAAUCAAACACCAAAGAAUAUAUGAUAAGAUGUAUUACCUGCAGGCUUCAAAAUUUUUUAAGAAAAAAAAUCAAACACCAAAGAAUAUAUGAUAAGAUGUAUUACCUGCAUUAAUACCAUAAGAAUGACCAUGAUUUCAGUUCUCUUCAUUUGCUGGGGUAGAUGGGUGUUAUGCAUGGCUGUUUGCAAAACUAUCUUCUUCUGGUGGAAGAUUUAAUAUGGGGAUAUGGACAAAUUAAGUAUAGUACAUAAGUCAUGCUUUGUUGCUUAGUUAUAUAGAAAAAUUUGAUGGGGAAAAAUAAAA